CAUGCAAGUCGAACGGAAACAGGACGCUGUGAUCCCUUCGGGGUGAACUUGUCGCUGUCGAGUGGCGGACGGGUGAGUAAUGCUUAGGAAUCUGCCCAGUAGUGGGGGACAACACGGGGAAACUCGUGCUAAUACCGCAUACGCUCUACGGAGGAAAGCGGAGGAUCUUCGGACUUCGCACUAUGGGAUGAGCCUAAGUCGGAUUAGCUUGUUGGUGAGGUAAUGGCUCACCAAGGCGACAAUCCGUAGCUGGUCUGAGAGGACGAUCAGCCACACUGGGACUGAGACACGGCCCAGACUCCUACGGGAGGCAGCAGUGGGGAAUAUUGGACAAUGGGGGCAACCCUGAUCCAGCAAUACCGCGUGUGUGAAGAAGGCCUGCGGGUUGUAAAGCACUUUCAGUAGAGAAGAAAAGCUUACGCUUAAUACGUGUGAGUCUUGACGUAACCUACAGAAGAAGCACCGGCUAACUCCGUGCCAGCAGCCGCGGUAAUACGGAGGGUGCGAGCGUUAAUCGGAAUUACUGGGCGUAAAGCGCGCGUAGGCGGUCUGGUCAGUCGGAUGUGAAAGCCCCGGGCUUAACCUGGGAAUUGCAUUCGAUACUGCCAAACUAGAAUGUUGGGGAGGGAAGUGGAAUUUCCGGUGUAGC
Molecule: ribosomal RNA, 649 nt
Filed under: uncultured bacterium
Lineage: Bacteria
Description: bacterial SSU rRNA
Rfam family: Bacterial small subunit ribosomal RNA
Source: RNAcentral